AGAGUUUGAUCCUGGCUCAGGAUGAACCGCUGGCGGCGUGCCUAAUACAUGCAAGUCGAGCGAACAGAUAAGGAGCUUGCUCCUUUGACGUUAGCGGCGGACGGGUGAGUAACACGUGGGUAACCUACCUAUAAGACUGGAAUAACUCCGGGAAACCGGGGCUAAUGCCGGAUAACAUUUAGAACCGCAUGGUCCUAAAGUGAAAGAUGGUUUUGCUAUCACUUAUAGAUGGACCCGCGCCGUAUUAGCUAGUUGGUAAGGUAACGGCUUACCAAGGCAACGAUACGUAGCCGACCUGAGAGGGUGAUCGGCCACACUGGAACUGAGACACGGUCCAGACUCCUACGGGAGGCAGCAGUAGGGAAUCUUCCGCAAUGGGCGAAAGCCUGACGGAGCAACGCCGCGUGAGUGAUGAAGGGUUUCGGCUCGUAAAACUCUGUUAUUAGGGAAGAACAAACGUGUAAGUAACUGUGCACGUCUUGACGGUACCUAAUCAGAAAGCCACGGCUAACUACGUGCCAGCAGCCGCGGUAAUACGUAGGUGGCAAGCGUUAUCCGGAAUUAUUGGGCGUAAAGCGCGCGUAGGCGGUUUCUUAAGUCUGAUGUGAAAGCCCACGGCUCAACCGUGGAGGGUCAUUGGAAACUGGGAGACUUGAGUGCAGAAGAGGAAAGUGGAAUUCCAUGUGUAGCGGUGAAAUGCGCAGAGAUAUGGAGGAACACCAGUGGCGAAGGCGACUUUCUGGUCUGUAACUGACGCUGAUGUGCGAAAGCGUGGGGAUCAAACAGGAUUAGAUACCCUGGUAGUCC
Molecule: ribosomal RNA, 807 nt
Filed under: uncultured bacterium
Lineage: Bacteria
Description: bacterial SSU rRNA
Rfam family: Bacterial small subunit ribosomal RNA
Source: RNAcentral